UGCAAGUCGAACGGUAACAUUUCUAGCUUGCUAGAAGAUGACGAGUGGCGGACGGGUGAGUAAUGCUUGGGAACUUGCCUUUGCGAGGGGGAUAACAGUUGGAAACGACUGCUAAUACCGCAUAAUGUCUUCGGACCAAACGGGGCUUCGGCUCCGGCGCAAAGAGAGGCCCAAGUGAGAUUAGCUAGUUGGUAAGGUAACGGCUUACCAAGGCGACGAUCUCUAGCUGUUCUGAGAGGAAGAUCAGCCACACUGGGACUGAGACACGGCCCAGACUCCUACGGGAGGCAGCAGUGGGGAAUAUUGCACAAUGGGGGAAACCCUGAUGCAGCCAUGCCGCGUGUGUGAAGAAGGCCUUCGGGUUGUAAAGCACUUUCAGUUGUGAGGAAAAGUUAGUAGUUAAUACCUGCUAGCCGUGACGUUAACAACAGAAGAAGCACCGGCUAACUCCGUGCCAGCAGCCGCGGUAAUACGGAGGGUGCGAGCGUUAAUCGGAAUUACUGGGCGUAAAGCGCACGCA
This 520-nucleotide ribosomal RNA is filed under the name uncultured bacterium. RNAcentral's name for it is "bacterial SSU rRNA". It matches the Rfam family "Bacterial small subunit ribosomal RNA", at positions 56 to 573 of the family's 1533-position model. The record is from RNAcentral.